RNAcentral lists this long non-coding RNA (561 nucleotides) under Setaria italica (foxtail millet). RNAcentral describes it as "long non-coding RNA (SITA_LNC005446)". Lineage: Eukaryota; Viridiplantae; Streptophyta; Magnoliopsida; Poales; Poaceae. The record is from RNAcentral.
UUAUUUUCACAAGAUGAUCCGUCAAACUUUUUAAGUUGUAACAGUAAGUUGCAACCCAGUUGGCUGGUCGGGGUUAAGUAACUUCAAUAGGAAAAUUCUGAAUGCACUUGCCCAGUUAUGACAAAGAACAAGCACAAUAUUAUCGUAUUUGUGAUCUGCCAAACUUCCCAAGUAAACUGAAAACAACUCUUAACUACCUCAAAACUUUUUAGUGUUAGAGAAGGGGAUUAGCACUUCAAUCAAAGAUCUAAAACAUAUUUCUGAAAAAUCGUAGCUAAGUAGAUUCUUUGAAAAUGACCAAAUCAAUGUGUGAACUUGAAGAGUAGCAUCCCGAGGAAUUAGCAAUUAGCAAGUAAUCAAAAAAUUGAAUGCUAAUGGCAUUACACAGUCAAAUACUUUAAAUGAUCUGAAGGAUAUUUUGCAACGUUAAGUUGGAAACUGAGAACAGAUUGGUGAUCAUUCCAAUAAAUGCUUGGCAAAGAAACUCUGCACUCUUCUUGCUUUUCAAAGACAGCAUCGAUCAUCACUGCCACAACAAAACAGGGUUUCUCACCUGCCAUC